RNAcentral lists this long non-coding RNA (906 nucleotides) under Rattus norvegicus (Norway rat). Its description in RNAcentral is "long non-coding RNA NONRATT012060". The record is from RNAcentral. Lineage: Eukaryota; Metazoa; Chordata; Mammalia; Rodentia; Muridae.
CACACAUUCUGUAUUUAUAGCCAGAGCUUCAUUUAUUUUUCUCAAUCACUUAUCAAAAACGAACUGUCAAGCCAAUAUUUGAGGAAAUUAUUUUGCUGUCUUCAGAAAAACCAUUCCAUAGUUAAUAAUUUCAUAAAGAGUAGAGUCUUAGGAGUAGGUCCUUUGUGUCCCUAGCUUUAUGAAUUGGAAGAGUGCCUUGGGGAAUGGCAGGCCUCAAAGUGAGCUCUUGGCAUCGGUGAGGUGAAAACUGGGGGCUGGCUGGAGAGAUGUGUCAGUGGGCAAGGUGCACGCAAGCCUGCUCCCUGAGUUUAGCCCCUGGGACCCCAUAAAGAAAGGAGAGAACCUCUCCACGGAGUUUCUGUCAGGCCUCCACGUGUGCUGUGACAACUUUCUAAAGAAAUAAAAUUGGGAUCUGGCUCUUGAUCAGCCCCAGGCUGAAGGCAUCUAAUUCCACAGCUGAAGUUCAAUCUGCAUUCAGACCUCUGACAAAGUAUUUUAGUAGAGUUUGGUUUAUAUUAUAAUACGAUACUUUGGCCCUUAAGUAUUCGAUAGAUUUGCCCUUAACUGUUUGACUUUGGUCAAGACAUUGCAUAGAAAGUAUUCUUUUCACUCAGAAGUUAGAAAUGACAUCCAAUUUACUUCAUGUGGCCUAUGUUCAAAAGUAACGUGUUGUGUUUCUGUCACCAUUGAGACGUAAAUAUUGCAGCUUCUGUUCACACUGUGGCUUGUGUUCUGACUGUGAGAAAGCUUACAUAUAUUUGAAACGAAAAUGUGUCCUGAGUAAACAAGUGCUAAUAAAAAAAGAAUUCUCUAGGCUUAGGAGAACUGUAUUUUAUACUUCAGAAUACACUGUAGUCGAAGAGUAGCAGACCUUUCAAGACAGUAUUAAAGCUAUGUUAUUCCAGU